UACGUAGGGUGCAAGCGUUGUUCGGAAUUAUUGGGCGUAAAGCGCGUGUAGGUGGUCAUCUAAGUCGAGUGUGAAAUCCCUGGGCUCAACCUAGGAAGUGCAUCCGAAACUAGUUGACUAGAAGACAGUAGAGGAAGGUGGAAUUCCAAGUGUAGAGGUGAAAUUCGUAGAUAUUUGGAGGAAUACCGGCGGCGAAGGCGGCCUUCUGGACUGUUCUUGACACUGAGACGCGAAAGCGUGGGUAGCAAACAGGAUUAGAAACCCUUGUAGU
RNAcentral lists this ribosomal RNA (271 nucleotides) under uncultured bacterium. RNAcentral describes it as "partial 16S ribosomal RNA". It matches the Rfam family "Bacterial small subunit ribosomal RNA", at positions 524 to 794 of the family's 1533-position model. The record is from RNAcentral.